RNAcentral lists this transfer RNA (74 nucleotides) under Armatimonadota bacterium. RNAcentral describes it as "Armatimonadetes bacterium (rhizosphere metagenome) tRNA-Thr". It matches the Rfam family "tRNA". Rfam says of the family: Transfer RNA (tRNA) molecules are approximately 80 nucleotides in length. Lineage: Bacteria; Bacillati; Armatimonadota. The record is from RNAcentral.
GCCGAUGUAGCUCAAUCCGGCAGAGCGGCGCUCCCGUAAAGCGACGGUUGCAGGUUCAACUCCUGCCUUCGGCU